Molecule: long non-coding RNA, 543 nt
Organism: Fundulus heteroclitus (mummichog)
Lineage: Eukaryota; Metazoa; Chordata; Actinopteri; Cyprinodontiformes; Fundulidae
Exons: 3
Source: RefSeq, a predicted model, not a curated record
AUUAUAUAACUCAGUGGGGAAAACCCGUACAUCGAUGAGGAAGCACUUUGUCCAGCAGACUAACGACGUAUAGAAAUACUGAAAAUGUUUUUUCUCCAGACUACAUUGAGCUGCUGGGUGUUGCUGUGUAUCAGCUCCGUCUCCUCUUUAGACAAUCAAAACAUCACAGCAGAACCUGGACAACAUGUCAACCUGACAUGUGGAGUUCCUGACAGUAAAUCUGUCAUAGUGGUAGAGUGGAGAAGAGCUGAUGUUACAGAAGAAUAUGUUCUUCUAUACAGAGAUGAGCAGAUGGACCCAUUUUCACAGGAACCUUCUUUUCAGAACCGUGUGGAUCUGAGGGAUAGACAGAUGAAGGAUGGAGACGUUUCUUUGGUUCUGAAGAAUGUGACAACUAACGAUACGGGAAUCUAUGAAUGUCGAAUUCAACAUCAAGGAAACCGUGAGAGGAAUCUCAUCUGCAGCGUCUACCUGAUUGUUUCUCCUCCAGGAACAUGAAGACCAUCAGCUGCCUGAUGGAUCCCUCACCGCACCAUCAAACAG